This 468-nucleotide ribosomal RNA is filed under the name uncultured bacterium. RNAcentral describes it as "partial 16S ribosomal RNA". It matches the Rfam family "Bacterial small subunit ribosomal RNA", at positions 28 to 507 of the family's 1533-position model. The record is from RNAcentral.
GACGAACGCUGGCGGCGUGCUUAACACAUGCAAGUCGAACGGAAAGGCCCUGCUUUUGUGGGGUGCUCGAGUGGCGAACGGGUGAGUAACACGUGAGUAACCUGCCCUUGACUUUGGGAUAACUUCAGGAAACUGGGGCUAAUACCGGAUAGGAGCUCCUGCUGCAUGGGGGGGGUUGGAAAGUUUCGGCGGUUGGGGAUGGACUCGCGGCUUAUCAGCUUGGUGGUGGGGUAGUGGCUUACCAAGGCUUUGACGGGUAGCCGGCCUGGGAGGGUGACCGGCCACAUUGGGACUGAGAUACGGCGCAGACUCCUACGGGAGGCAGCAGUGGGGAAUAUUGCACAAUGGGCGGAAGCCUGAUGCAGCAACGCCGCGUGCGGGAUGACGGCCUUCGGGUUGUAACCCGCUUUCGCCUGUGACGAAGCGUGAGUGACGGUAAUGGGUAAAGAAGCACCGGCUAACUACGUG